Molecule: ribosomal RNA, 450 nt
Filed under: uncultured Levilinea sp.
Lineage: Bacteria; Bacillati; Chloroflexota; Anaerolineae; Anaerolineales; Anaerolineaceae
Description: bacterial SSU rRNA
Rfam family: Bacterial small subunit ribosomal RNA
Source: RNAcentral
GGGCCCGCACAAGCAGCGGAGCGUGUGGUUUAAUUCGAUGAUACACGAAGAACCUUACCAGGGUUUGACAUGCUGGUGGUAGGGAUCCGAAAGGUGACCGACCCUCGGGGAGCCAGCACAGGUGCUGCAUGGCUGUCGUCAGCUCGUGUCGUGAGAUGUUCGGUUAAGUCCGCUAACGAGCGCAACCCUUGCUGUGUGUUACAUGUGUCACACGGGACUGCCGGUCUUAAACCGGAGGAAGGUGGGAUGACGUCAAGUCAGCACGGCCUUUAUAUCCUGGGCUACACACACGCUACAAUGGCCGGUACAAUAGGUUGCUAAGCCGCGAGGCGGAGCCAAUCCUCAAAGCCGGCCUCAGUUCAGAUUGCAGGCUGCAACCCGCCUGCAUGAAGAUAGAGUUGCUAGUAACCGCAGGUCAGCUAUACUGCGGUGAAUACGUUCCCGGGGCUU